This 73-nucleotide transfer RNA is filed under the name Camelus bactrianus (Bactrian camel). It matches the Rfam family "tRNA". From Rfam's summary of the family: Transfer RNA (tRNA) molecules are approximately 80 nucleotides in length. Their secondary structure includes four short double-helical elements and three loops (D, anti-codon, and T loops). Lineage: Eukaryota; Metazoa; Chordata; Mammalia; Artiodactyla; Camelidae. The record is from Rfam by way of RNAcentral. RNAcentral also lists the same sequence under 1 other name.
GAGGGUAUAGCUCAAGAGGUAGAACAUGUGCUUGGCAUGCAUGAGGUCCUGGGUUCAAUCCCCAAUACCUCCA